AGAAUCAACGCUGGCGGCGUGCCUCAGACAUGCAAGUCGAACGCGAAAGUGCCCUUCGGGGGACAAGUAGAGUGGCGCACGGGUGAGUAACACGUAGGUAAUCUACCUUCGGAUGGGGAAUAACAACCGGAAACGGUUGCUAAUACCGCAUAAUGCAGCGGCACCUAAUGGUGACAGUUGUUAAAGCGGGGGAUCGAAAGCCUCGCGUCUGAAGAGGAGCCUGCGGCGGAUUAGCUAGUUGGUAGGGUAACGGCCUACCAAGGCGACGAUCCGUA
RNAcentral lists this ribosomal RNA (275 nucleotides) under uncultured soil bacterium. Its description in RNAcentral is "partial 16S ribosomal RNA". It matches the Rfam family "Bacterial small subunit ribosomal RNA", at positions 26 to 285 of the family's 1533-position model. The record is from RNAcentral.